GGUUAAGUGACUAAGCGUACACGGUGGAUGCCUUGGCAGUCAGAGGCGAUGAAGGACGUAUUAACUUGCGAUAAGCCCAGAUUAGGUAGUAAAAACCAUUUGAGUCUGGGAUUUCCGAAUGGGGAAACCCAAUACCAUAAGGUAUUACUGUUGAGUGAAUACAUAGCUCAACAGGGCGAACCGGGGGAACUGAAACAUCUAAGUACCCCGAGGAAAAGAAAUCAACCGAGAUUCCGAAAGUAGCGGCGAGCGAAAUUGGACUAGCCCUUAAGCUUUACACGCGUUAGACGAACAGCCUGGAAAGGCCGACGAUACAGGGUGAUAGUCCCGUAGUUGACGACGUGUGUUCAGUGAAAUCGAGUAGGGCGGGACACGUGAUAUCCUGUCUGAAUAUGGGGGGACCAUCCUCCAAGGCUAAAUACUACUGACUGACCGAUAGUGAACCAGUACCGUGAGGGAAAGGCGAAAAGAACCCCUGUGAGGGGAGUGAAAUAGAACCUGAAACCGUGUACGUACAAGCAGUAGGAGCAGGCUUUGUCCUGUGACUGCGUACCUUUUGUAUAAUGGGUCAGCGACUUAUAUUCAGUGGCAAGGUUAACCAUCUAGGGGAGCCGUAGGGAAACCGAGUCUUAACUGGGCGUUCAGUCUCUGGAUAUAGACCCGAAACCAGGUGAUCUAGCCAUGGGCAGGUUGAAGGUUGAGUAACAUCAACUGGAGGACCGAACCGACUAAUGUUGAAAAAUUAGCGGAUGACUUGUGGCUAGGGGUGAAAGGCCAAUCAAACCUGGAGAUAGCUGGUUCUCCCCGAAAGCUAUUUAGGUAGCGCCUCGGACGAAUACUACUGGGGGUAGAGCACUGUUAAGGCUAGGGGGUCAUCCCGACUUACCAACCCUUUGCAAACUCCGAAUACCAGUAAGUACUAUCCGGGAGACACACGGCGGGUGCUAACGUCCGUCGUGGAGAGGGAAACAACCCAGACCGCCAGCUAAGGUCCCAAAUUACUACUAAGUGGGAAACGAUGUGGGAAGGCUCAGACAGCCAGGAUGUUGGCUUAGAAGCAGCCAUCAUUUAAAGAAAGCGUAAUAGCUCACUGGUCGAGUCGGCCUGCGCGGAAGAUGUAACGGGGCUAAGUAGUAAACCGAAGCUGCGGCAAUGCACUUUAGUGCAUUGGGUAGGGGAGCGUUCUGUAAGCGGUUGAAGGUGUGUGGUAACGCAUGCUGGACGUAUCAGAAGUGCGAAUGCUGACAUGAGUAACGAUAAAGGGGGUGAAAAACCUCCUCGCCGGAAGACCAAGGGUUCCUGUCCAACGUUAAUCGGGGCAGGGUAAGUCGACCCCUAAGGCGAGGCCGAAAGGCGUAGUCGAUGGGAAACGGGUUAAUAUUCCCGUACUUCUUACAAUUGCGAUGGGGGGACGGAGAAGGCUAGGUGGGCCUGGCGACGGUUGUCCAGGUUCAAGUGCAUGUGAAGUCAUUGAUGCCAUGCUUCCAGGAAAAGCCUCUAAGCUUCAGAUUGUAAGGAAUCGUACCCCAAACCGACACAGGUGGUCGGGUAGAGAAUACCAAGGCGCUUGAGAGAACUCGGGUGAAGGAACUAGGCAAAAUGGUACCGUAACUUCGGGAGAAGGUACGCUCUCGACGGUGAAGUCCCUCGCGGAUGGAGCUAUUGAGAGUCGCAGAUACCAGGUGGCUGCAACUGUUUAUUAAAAACACAGCACUGUGCAAAAUCGCAAGAUGACGUAUACGGUGUGACGCCUGCCCGGUGCCGGAAGGUUAAUUGAUGGGGUUAGACUUCGGUCGAAGCUCUUGAUCGAAGCCCCGGUAAACGGCGGCCGUAACUAUAACGGUCCUAAGGUAGCGAAAUUCCUUGUCGGGUAAGUUCCGACCUGCACGAAUGGCGUAAUGAUGGCCACGCUGUCUCCACCCGAGACUCAGUGAAAUUGAAAUCGCUGUGAAGAUGCAGUGUACCCGCGGCUAGACGGAAAGACCCCGUGAACCUUUACUACAGCUUGGCACUGAACAUUGACCCUACAUGUGUAGGAUAGGUGGGAGGCUUUGAAGCGCAGUCGCUAGAUUGCGUGGAGCCGUCCUUGAAAUACCACCCUUGUAGUGUUGAUGUUCUAACGUCGACCCCUAAUCGGGGUUGCGGACAGUGCCUGGUGGGUAGUUUGACUGGGGCGGUCUCCUCCCAAAGCGUAACGGAGGAGCACGAAGGUGGGCUAAUCACGGUUGGACAUCGUGAGGUUAGUGCAAUGGCAUAAGCCCGCUUGACUGCGAGAAUGACAAUUCGAGCAGGUGCGAAAGCAGGUCAUAGUGAUCCGGUGGUUCUGAAUGGAAGGGCCAUCGCUCAACGGAUAAAAGGUACUCCGGGGAUAACAGGCUGAUACCGCCCAAGAGUUCAUAUCGACGGCGGUGUUUGGCACCUCGAUGUCGGCUCAUCACAUCCUGGGGCUGAAGUCGGUCCCAAGGGUAUGGCUGUUCGCCAUUUAAAGUGGUACGCGAGCUGGGUUUAGAACGUCGUGAGACAGUUCGGUCCCUAUCUGCCGUGGGCGUUGGAGAAUUGAAAGGGGCUGCUCCUAGUACGAGAGGACCGGAGUGGACGAACCUCUGGUGUUCGGGUUGUGUCGCCAGACGCAUUGCCCGGUAGCUAAGUUCGGGAUCGAUAACCGCUGAAAGCAUCUAAGCGGGAAGCGAGCCUUGAGAUGAGUUCUCCCUGAUACUUUAAGUAUCCUAAAGGGUUGUCGUAGACUACGACGUUGAUAGGCAGGGUGUGUAAGCGUUGUGAGGCGUUGAGCUAACCUGUACUAAUUGCCCGUGAGGCUUAACCAU
Molecule: ribosomal RNA, 2825 nt
Filed under: Vibrio sp. VA3
Lineage: Bacteria; Pseudomonadati; Pseudomonadota; Gammaproteobacteria; Vibrionales; Vibrionaceae
Description: 23S ribosomal RNA
Rfam family: Bacterial large subunit ribosomal RNA
Source: RNAcentral